GGAGUCCAGCGUGUGCGCGAGUCAUUGGGCACAAAACUAAACCUAAAGGCGAAAUGAAAGUGAAGGCGCGCUUAGCGCGCGCCUAGGGAAGAUGGGCGCUCACGUUUUCGGACGCGCGCCCCGCAUUCCCGGGGCGUCCCUUUUUCAUUGCGAAAAUGGGCGCACCUAGAGCGUACACGCUGGGACCCGAAAGAUGGUGAACUAUGCCUGGUCAGGACGAAGUCAGGGGAAACCCUGAUGGAGGUCCGUAGCGAUUCUGACGUGCAAAUCGAUCGUCGGAACUGGGUAUAGGGGCGAAAGACUAAUCGAACCAUCUAGUAGCUGGUUCCCUCCGAAGUUUCCCUCAGGAUAGCUGGCGCUCAGUGAAGCGAGUUUCAUCCGGUAAAGCGAAUGAUUAGAGGCCUUGGGGACGAAACGUCCUCAACCUAUUCUCAAACUUUAAAUGGGUGAGAACUCCGGCUUUCUUAAAUUGUGCCGUCGUCGCGUCGUCGCGUCCGGUUCCGUUCGCGCGGGCCGGCCGGCGGCGUGUUCGGCGCGCGUUUUUGAAGCCGCGAGUGUUCGAAUCCGAGUGCCAAGUGGGCCAUUUUUGGUAAGCAGAACUGGCGUUGUGGGAUGAACCGAACGCGAAGUUAAAGCGCCCAAGUGGACGCUUAUUAGACACCAUGAAAGGCGUUGGUAACUUAAGACAGCAGGACGGUGGCCAUGGAA
Molecule: ribosomal RNA, 708 nt
Filed under: Cantharinae sp. UPOL 001300
Lineage: Eukaryota; Metazoa; Arthropoda; Insecta; Coleoptera; Cantharidae
Description: eukaryotic LSU rRNA
Rfam family: Eukaryotic large subunit ribosomal RNA
Source: RNAcentral